AGUGAACGCUGGCGGUAGGCCUAACACAUGCAAGUCGAACGGCAGCACAGUAAGAGCUUGCUCUUACGGGUGGCGAGUGGCGUACGGGUGAGGAAUACAUCGGAAUCUACUUUUUCGUGGGGGAUAACGUAGGGAAACUUACGCUAAUACCGCAUACGACCUACGGGUGAAAGCAGGGGAUCUUCGGACCUUGCGCGAUUGAAUGAGCCGAUGUCGGAUUAGCUAGUUGGCGGGGUAAAGGCCCACCAAGGCGACGAUCCGUAGCUGGUCUGAGAGGAUGAUCGGCCACACUGGAGCGGAGACACGGUCCAGACUCCUACGGGAGGCAGCAGUGGGGAAUAUUGGACAAUGGGCGCAAGCCUGAUCCAGCCAUACCGCGUGGGUGAAGAAGGCCUUCGGGUUGUAAAGCCGUUUUGUUGGGAAAGAAAAGCAGCAGGUUAAUACCCCGCUGUUCUGACGGUACCCAAAGAAUAAGCACCGGCUAACUUCGUG
Molecule: ribosomal RNA, 492 nt
Filed under: uncultured bacterium
Lineage: Bacteria
Description: partial 16S ribosomal RNA
Rfam family: Bacterial small subunit ribosomal RNA
Source: RNAcentral